RNAcentral lists this ribosomal RNA (465 nucleotides) under uncultured bacterium. Its description in RNAcentral is "partial 16S ribosomal RNA". It matches the Rfam family "Bacterial small subunit ribosomal RNA", at positions 338 to 795 of the family's 1533-position model. The record is from RNAcentral.
CCUACGGGAGGCAGCAGUGGGGAAUAUUGCGCAAUGGGCGAAAGCCUGACGCAGCGACGCCGCGUGAGGGAUGAAGGUCUUCGGAUCGUAAACCUCUGUCAGCAGGGAAGAACGGUCACUGUGCUAAUCAGCAGUGAAUUGACGGUACCUGCAAAGGAAGCACCGGCUAACUCCGUGCCAGCAGCCGCGGUAAUACGGAGGGUGCGAGCGUUAAUCGGAAUUACUGGGCGUAAAGCGCUCGUAGGCGGUAUGUCAAGUCAAGGGUGAAAUCCCCGCGCUCAACGUGGGCACUGCCUUUGAAACUAGCAAACUGGAGUGUGUGAGAGGAUAGGGGAAUUCCAGGUGUAGGGGUGAAAUGCGUAGAGAUCGGGAGGAACAUCAGUGGCGAAGGCGACUAGCUGGAACAUAACUGACGCUGAGGAGCGAAAGCGUGGGUAGCAAACAGGAUUAGAUACCCCUGUAGUC